Molecule: RNA transcript, 2143 nt
Organism: Brachypodium distachyon (stiff brome)
Lineage: Eukaryota; Viridiplantae; Streptophyta; Magnoliopsida; Poales; Poaceae
Exons: 3
Source: RefSeq, a predicted model, not a curated record
UCGAAAAGCGCUUUUAGUCCCUUCCGCUAAUGGCAUUGAAGGAAAGGCCACUGGCGGAAAGUCUUUCCGUGGGGCCAAAAUUUGUCAAAAAAGUUAGCCAGGGCCAGUGUGGCAAAAAAUUCCCACGUUCACCGCCGCAGACCGUCUCCCGAGGGCCCUCCGCCGCCUCCCAACCUCCCUCUGCGGCCGCAGACCGCCUCCCGAUCUCCAUCCGCCGCCGCGUCCGGUGCUGCGGCGGCCGCGGCCACCGAACAGGUGUGGCACCGGCGGCGAUGCUGAUGAGCGGAUGCCCGGCGACCGGACAAGACCUCACGCAGCUGCUGGACGCGAGCCCCAGGAACAGAGUACGCCAUCUCCUGCCUCCUGUUGCUGUCAGCGAGGAAGUUCUGCAAGAAGCUGAAGAAGCUCUCCGAGAUGGACGUCGCCGGCGUGCGGCACGACGCCCUGAACCUCUCCACCGUCGCUGGGUGGAGAGCGGCGGCGGCUGCGCGGGCUGGGCGGAGACGAGGAGGGUGCCGAGGUCGCCGGCGCGGACUGGGUGGCAUUCGGCGGCGGCGCACUGGACGAGGGCAAGGACUGCGGAGGGCGCCGCCGGUGAUUCAGAGGGUGGCGGAUCGGGAUCAACUCUGGGAAGGAGAAAUCUGAUGCGGAGUACGUUUUUUUUUCUUUUUCUUUUAAUGUGAAAAGUCCAUCAUGCCCUUCCUUAAUACUCGCUGUUAGGUAGUACAGGAGAAACGUUCUAUCUGAAACAUGUCGCCGUAGACAAUAAUUGUUCAGCAAAUAACCAACUGCGUCUCACAAACGACACGAGCUGUUCGACAAACAUAACAUAAUUAACAUGACAGCAUAGCCAUCUAAUUAAGUACUCCAAAACAUGCCAGUUUAGACGAUGGUUAUCCGGCCAGGAUACCGAUGAAGGCGCUCAAGUGCCCGGGAAAUGUGUUCCGGUAACAUGCUCCCGAGGAAUACCAGAUGCAUCAGCUACAACCGUUUUACCGAUAUCGGCAGCGGCUAUAUUCUUCUUGAUUGAAGCAAAUAGCUUCUUAUGGUGCCGAUAAAUUAAACCAUUCACAUGAGCAUGCCUCUUAAGUGCAUGAUAACCUGGCAACGGAUAGGAGCCUUUCAUCACAGUCUGAGUAAACGCAAAGGUUACCUUUGCAUAAUCUUCAGCACAUUUUCCAGCUGCAGCUACCUCGAGUCGUUCUUCUUCACUUAAAAGUUCCAAGUUAUAAGGCUCUGUCGAUUCAUGGUACCUCCAAGGGUUUGCUUGAAUCUUGCCUGCCGCUUCACUAACAAUUGUAUAGUUUGAAAUCAUACAUCUUCUGUAAGGAUUCCCAGCAGUCCAGAGUCAUCAUCUGUUUUAAAACAGCUUGAGUAGUAGUAAUCAGAACUUUACCAGCAGGAGCUGCUUUUGUUCGGAUAGCGAAAACUGCAGGUAUCGCAUAACGCCCAACUUUUCUCUGAAGAAGCUUCAUUGGCAUCUCAACACCGAUCCAUUGCAGAGCAGGACCGUAGAGAUCCUUCCCUGUCAGGAAUCCCACAUGCUCCCAGUGGUUCGGAACGCAAACUCAUGGAGAAACGGUAGGAAGCAGGCAAGCUUCCAAGCAUCAGAAAGGUACAUAUGGAUCAGCGGCCUUCAGCUGUGCUAGUGCCUCAUCGGUGAGAAAUGCCUUGUGAUGUUGCCGGAUGUAUACAAGAGCCUGUGGUGGUACAGGGUAUCCAUGAGCAUACGCGCUAAGUAGCUUCCUAGUGUGAACCUUUCUCGUCUCAGUUAGGUACACGGACACGGUCCCAGCAGCAUUAAUCUCGAGAAUUGUCGCAAGCUCGGGGGAGUUCAUGUAGACAGGGAGAAUCAUGUUUGGCGUCCUGGAAAAAUUGGAUUGCCUUAGUUGUACACUUUGGAUGAAAUUUAUAUAUCUAUACAUGGAUAUUCGAAAACAAGGAAAUGCAUUUUGUCAGUAAAGAAUGCCACCACAUGAAGAACAAUUUUGUUAAGCAUGAGAUAUUAAUUUGAAAUAGGUAAAUAACUAAGGCUUUGUUUGGAUGUAGAUAUUGAGUAAAUAUAAUUAGGAGGCAGAAAUUACAAGAGUGACUAAGAGAGCGCCUAAUAUUUUUCUCCAUAACCAUUAGAUGGACAGUUGUG